Long non-coding RNA from Photinus pyralis (common eastern firefly), 847 nucleotides. RefSeq lists it as uncharacterized. The transcript is spliced from 3 exons. Lineage: Eukaryota; Metazoa; Arthropoda; Insecta; Coleoptera; Lampyridae. The record is from RefSeq and is a predicted model, not a curated record.
AAACCAUUCAGUAUGAAGGCACAAAUGAAAACCUAAAAAAAAAAUGUAAAAAAAAAAAUUAUAGCAAUAAUGAUGUUAACGAUGGAGCUUAAUGCUGUCUUGCAAGGAGUAUGAGGCGCAAGCGUUUUUUAAAAAGACUUUCGGAUAAAUGUUUUAAAUGAGAUGGUAAUUCAUUAUACGUCUUUGCAAUAUUGUAACUGAAGGAGCGUUUAAAUAGUGACGUUUUGUGAGUAGGUAUAGUUAUAAAAAACCGAUCUCUAACAUUGACAUUAUGUCAAUGUCAUAUCAUCAUAUAAUCGGGCACUAGUGAGCUUAGAUGUUCUUCCCGAAACCUUUUGGGGAUGUUUUAAAUAUACGUUCCAGCGAUGUGGUCAUACCUCUAUGAAAAUAGGUACUUUUACAAUAGACAUUUAACACGUGCCAGGCAUCUAUUGUUUUAACAAAGACCAGGCCGUUAUAGAAAGUGUUUAAUUUACAUUUUUUUAUAUCAAGGACGUGAGUCGCCAUUUUUAAGAACUCGCAGCUAACACCGCGUUGCGCCGGCGUGUUCACAAAUCACCGCUCACAACUACAACCGGUACGCCAUGAGUUUUGUUUUAAGACAGUGGAUUGUUUAUUUUUCAUCCUUAUUAAAGUGUAUGGUCUCAACAAAUUACAAAAGCUGUCCUAAGCUAAUCUCAAAUUGAUGUUGAUGAAGAAAAUCUGAAUAUAGCAUUGGCAAUAUAGAACUGGUUGAGGCGGUGGUUGAGGUGUAAUGUACAUAUACUUUUGUAAUUUUUUUAUCAAUCUGACAUGCCCGUAGAAUUUUGUUUUAAUUUCAAGAUUAAUAAAUAUGAAUUGCUAGACA